ACGUGAUCGAUUCGGUUUCCCGGAAGUGACUGCUGAGCCAGUCGAGCCUGGUCCAAGAGGAGGAAGGAUGGGGUGCAGAGUAUCCCGUCCUGGCCAGCGAUGAGCUCCAUUUCUAAAUCCUGUGGGAAUUCUUUGUUAUAAAACAGUUCCUGAUCUAAAGUUGAAAAGAGAUGGCUUAUGUAAGAGACAUUUUCUUCACGAAGUUGAUCGUUAGGAAGAGAGGUGACCACAAGAUACAGAAGGC
RNAcentral lists this long non-coding RNA (244 nucleotides) under Notechis scutatus (mainland tiger snake). RNAcentral describes it as "lncRNA (ENSNSUG00000000408.1)". Lineage: Eukaryota; Metazoa; Chordata; Lepidosauria; Squamata; Elapidae. The record is from RNAcentral.